GCCUAUGACCCUGUUGCCAGUACUCUAACCUAGGGGGGAGAAAUGAAAUGUAUGGCAGAAUACCAUAUGAGCAGGUGUACGUACCUGGUAGUAUGAAUAUCUCACAGGAAACUGUGUGGUGAAAUAUCUAUUUAAACCUGGACAGCAUGAAAACGGGUAAAAGAGAGUAGUAUAGUGAGUGUGGACUGUGUGGGAAUGAAGUAGAC
This is a non-coding RNA of Pelobates cultripes (western spadefoot toad), 206 nucleotides long. The record is from the annotation of a GenBank genome assembly. Lineage: Eukaryota; Metazoa; Chordata; Amphibia; Anura; Pelobatidae.